RNAcentral lists this non-coding RNA (28 nucleotides) under Mus musculus (house mouse). Lineage: Eukaryota; Metazoa; Chordata; Mammalia; Rodentia; Muridae. The record is from RNAcentral.
UGCAAAAACUCGGUAAGGUCUGCAGGUC